RNAcentral lists this long non-coding RNA (486 nucleotides) under Homo sapiens (human). RNAcentral's name for it is "non-protein coding lnc-LRRC66-2:1". The record is from RNAcentral. Lineage: Eukaryota; Metazoa; Chordata; Mammalia; Primates; Hominidae.
AUGCCCUUCUCUAAAGAGAUACCUGCCAUUUCCCCCAGCAAGCUCUCUGGUCUGUGGAGGAGGUCAGCAUGCAGCUCUGCCUUGCCCAGCUCUCCAAGCAUACCACGGCCUGACCUGAGGGUCUGUACAGGCUGCAGGCUAUGACCUGUACAGUGCCUAAGAUGAUACAAUACCACCUAUGGAGAAAGCUCUUGUGAACAGACAUUUAGAUAGAGCUCCUCCUUCCAGGUGUUGUGGAAGAGUAGCUCCACGCUGGCUUGGCUGCAAAACACUUUAUAGAUGUAGGAGGUGGUAUCAUAAAGGAAGAUUACAGAGGAAAUGCUGGUGCUGUACUGUUUUAUUUUGGCAAAGAAAAGUCUGAAGUCAAAAAAGGUGAUUGAACUGCAGUUCAUUUGUGAACAAAUCUUUAUCCAGAAAUAGAAGUUCAAAGCUUUGGAUGACACUGAAAGAGGUUCAGGAGGUUUGGGUUCCACUGGAAAGAAUUAA